GGUGAAAGUUUGAAAAAGGAGUGUUUGCGGCCUACAUUCAAGCAUGGCGGUGGUAGAGUCAUGGUGUGGGGAUUUAUGGCUACAUCCGGCGUUGAAAAACCUAAGUUAAUCGAUGGAAUCAAGACCAAGGAGGUUUAUUUGGACAUUUUGGACAGCGUCUGCACAAAAGCAAAAGUUCGAGCGCAGAUAUACGUUCCAACAAGACGGAGAUCCGAAGCACACCUCAAAGCUGGUUUCGCAGUGGUUCAAGAAAAAGCGUACCAAGGUUAUGGAGUGGCCUGCACAGUCUCCCGAUCUUAAUCCGAUCGAGCAUCUCUGGUCAAUUUUGAAAAUUAA
This is a long non-coding RNA of Ochlerotatus camptorhynchus, 336 nucleotides long. RefSeq lists it as uncharacterized. The record is from RefSeq and is a predicted model, not a curated record. NCBI's taxonomy places the organism in Eukaryota, Metazoa, Arthropoda, Insecta, Diptera, Culicidae. The transcript is spliced from 2 exons.